UACGAAGGGGACUAGCGUUGCUCGGAAUCACUGGGCGUAAAGCGCACGUAGGCGGCUUGUUAAGUCAGGGGUGAAAUCCUGGAGCUCAACUCCAGAACUGCCUUUGAUACUGGCGAGCUUGAGUUCGGGAGAGGUGAGUGGAACUGCGAGUGUAGAGGUGAAAUUCGUAGAUAUUCGCAAGAACACCAGUGGCGAAGGCGGCUCACUGGCCCGAUACUGACGCUGAGGCGCGAAAGCGUGGGGAGCAAACAGG
Molecule: ribosomal RNA, 253 nt
Filed under: uncultured bacterium
Lineage: Bacteria
Description: partial 16S ribosomal RNA
Rfam family: Bacterial small subunit ribosomal RNA
Source: RNAcentral